UACGUAGGUGGCGAGCGUUGUCCGGAUUUACUGGGCGUAAAGGGCGUGCAGGCGGUUUGCUAAGUCUAGGGUGAAAGCUCCCGGCUUAACUGGGAGAGGUCCUUGGAUACUGGCAGACUUGAGGAGGGUAGAGGAGAGUGGAAUUCCCGGUGUAGUGGUGAUAUGCGUAGAUAUGUGGAGGAACACCGAUGGCGAAGGCAGCCCCCUGGGCUAACACUGACGCUCAUGCACGAAAGCGUGGGGAGCAAACAGG
This 253-nucleotide ribosomal RNA is filed under the name uncultured bacterium. RNAcentral's name for it is "partial 16S ribosomal RNA". It matches the Rfam family "Bacterial small subunit ribosomal RNA", at positions 524 to 776 of the family's 1533-position model. The record is from RNAcentral.